UAUACCGUAGCUUGCUACACCAUAGACUGUGAGUUGCGAACGGGUGAGUAACGCGUAGGUAACCUGCCUAUUAGAGGGGGAUAACUAUUGGAAACGAUAGCUAAUACCGCAUAACAGUAUGUAACACAUGUUAGAUGCUUGAAAGAUGCAAUUGCAUCGCUAGUAGAUGGACCUGCGUUGUAUUAGCUAGUAGGUAGGGUAAAGGCCUACCUAGGCAACGAUACAUAGCCGACCUGAGAGGGUGAUCGGCCACACUGGGACUGAGACACGGCCCAGACUCCUACGGGAGGCAGCAGUAGGGAAUCUUCGGCAAUGGGGGGAACCCUGACCGAGCAACGCCGCGUGAGUGAAGAAGGUUUUCGGAUCGUAAAGCUCUGUUGUUAAGGAAGAACGAGUGUGAGAAUGGAAAGUUCAUACUGUGACG
Molecule: ribosomal RNA, 424 nt
Filed under: Streptococcus anginosus
Lineage: Bacteria; Bacillati; Bacillota; Bacilli; Lactobacillales; Streptococcaceae
Description: bacterial SSU rRNA
Rfam family: Bacterial small subunit ribosomal RNA
Source: RNAcentral